GUUAAGCGACUAAGCGUACACGGUGGAUGCCCUGGCAGUCAGAGGCGAUGAAGGACGUGCUAAUCUGCGAUAAGCGUCGGUAAGGUGAUAUGAACCGUUAUAACCGGCGAUUUCCGAAUGGGGAAACCCAGUGUGAUUCGUCACACUAUCAUUAACUGAAUCCAUAGGUUAAUGAGGCGAACCGGGGGAACUGAAACAUCUAAGUACCCCGAGGAAAAGAAAUCAACCGAGAUUCCCCCAGUAGCGGCGAGCGAACGGGGAGCAGCCCAGAGCCUGAAUCAGUGUGUGUGUUAGUGGAAGCGUCUGGAAAGGCGCGCGAUACAGGGUGACAGCCCCGUACACAAAAAUGCACAUGCUGUGAGCUCGAUGAGUAGGGCGGGACACGUGGUAUCCUGUCUGAAUAUGGGGGGACCAUCCUCCAAGGCUAAAUACUCCUGACUGACCGAUAGUGAACCAGUACCGUGAGGGAAAGGCGAAAAGAACCCCGGCGAGGGGAGUGAAAAAGAACCUGAAACCGUGUACGUACAAGCAGUGGGAGCACGCUUAGGCGUGUGACUGCGUACCUUUUGUAUAAUGGGUCAGCGACUUAUAUUCUGUAGCAAGGUUAACCGAAUAGGGGAGCCGAAGGGAAACCGAGUCUUAACUGGGCGUUAAGUUGCAGGGUAUAGACCCGAAACCCGGUGAUCUAGCCAUGGGCAGGUUGAAGGUUGGGUAACACUAACUGGAGGACCGAACCGACUAAUGUUGAAAAAUUAGCGGAUGACUUGUGGCUGGGGGUGAAAGGCCAAUCAAACCGGGAGAUAGCUGGUUCUCCCCGAAAGCUAUUUAGGUAGCGCCUCGUGAAUUCAUCUCCGGGGGUAGAGCACUGUUUCGGCAAGGGGGUCAUCCCGACUUACCAACCCGAUGCAAACUGCGAAUACCGGAGAAUGUUAUCACGGGAGACACACGGCGGGUGCUAACGUCCGUCGUGAAGAGGGAAACAACCCAGACCGCCAGCUAAGGUCCCAAAGUCAUGGUUAAGUGGGAAACGAUGUGGGAAGGCCCAGACAGCCAGGAUGUUGGCUUAGAAGCAGCCAUCAUUUAAAGAAAGCGUAAUAGCUCACUGGUCGAGUCGGCCUGCGCGGAAGAUGUAACGGGGCUAAACCAUGCACCGAAGCUGCGGCAGCGACGCUUAUGCGUUGUUGGGUAGGGGAGCGUUCUGUAAGCCUGUGAAGGUGUGCUGUGAGGCAUGCUGGAGGUAUCAGAAGUGCGAAUGCUGACAUAAGUAACGAUAAAGCGGGUGAAAAGCCCGCUCGCCGGAAGACCAAGGGUUCCUGUCCAACGUUAAUCGGGGCAGGGUGAGUCGACCCCUAAGGCGAGGCCGAAAGGCGUAGUCGAUGGGAAACAGGUUAAUAUUCCUGUACUUGGUGUUACUGCGAAGGGGGGACGGAGAAGGCUAUGUUGGCCGGGCGACGGUUGUCCCGGUUUAAGCGUGUAGGCUGGUUUUCCAGGCAAAUCCGGAAAAUCAAGGCUGAGGCGUGAUGACGAGGCACUACGGUGCUGAAGCAACAAAUGCCCUGCUUCCAGGAAAAGCCUCUAAGCAUCAGGUAACAUCAAAUCGUACCCCAAACCGACACAGGUGGUCAGGUAGAGAAUACCAAGGCGCUUGAGAGAACUCGGGUGAAGGAACUAGGCAAAAUGGUGCCGUAACUUCGGGAGAAGG
This 1702-nucleotide ribosomal RNA is filed under the name Escherichia coli. RNAcentral describes it as "partial 23S ribosomal RNA". It matches the Rfam family "Bacterial large subunit ribosomal RNA", at positions 1 to 1746 of the family's 2925-position model. The record is from RNAcentral. Lineage: Bacteria; Pseudomonadati; Pseudomonadota; Gammaproteobacteria; Enterobacterales; Enterobacteriaceae.